UAUGUGUGAAAAGCAAAAAAUUAUAUUUAAAAAAAUUCUAAAUUAUGUAUAUUUUAAAGAUUAUAUUUUCAAACUUGGCAUCAUCUUUCUUUCAGAUGGCUACCAAAGUUAUGCGAUCACAUGUUUCACAGACCUUAUUUUUUAGAUAUCCCCACAAAAAAUAAUCCAUUGGUGAUAGGUAACUUGUAACAACCCGUAUUAUGAGCCGGACAGCCAUAUUGUGAAAAUACAUAUCCAAGCCGACGUUGCAAAGGAAUAUCAUGCUAGAAGAAGCCCAGCGAAUAUCCUUAGCCUGCCUAAACCUAGAACCCGCCUUCAUACACCUGCUCCAAGCAGAGCUUGGAUAAUCAGAGGUUUGAAUUGCAUAGCCAGUAAUGGUGCCCAGUAUGAACAGUUUCUUUAAAAGAUAGGAGACAAAACACUAUCAACUAUCAAAAAUGUGGAAAAAAGUAAUAAGGUACAAAUAACAUUUUUUAAGUUAGUUGGUGUAUUCCGCAAUAUUUAGCUAAAAUGUCAAUCUGUAUUAGUUAAAAUAACGUGCAUCAGCAACCAUGAAAUACAUGUUUUUAUUUAUUUA
Molecule: long non-coding RNA, 577 nt
Filed under: Cimex lectularius (bed bug)
Lineage: Eukaryota; Metazoa; Arthropoda; Insecta; Hemiptera; Cimicidae
Description: uncharacterized LOC106667489, transcript variant X2
Source: RNAcentral